AGCCGCUCAGAAAAACUGGAAAAAUUUUGCUGAACCUGUUCUUCCAUACUUCUUUGGGACAAGCACUCAUAAUGCAUUGUUAUGUAUAUAAAGUAAUUUUCCUGGUUCCAGUAAUAAUUUUUUUUUUAAUCCAUUAGAGUCAAUAAAUAUGUGCUCUGGUUUUUGGUUGUUUAUUGAAAUGAGAUUAUCAUGGGAAAAUACAAAUUUGCAGAAUUGUACUUACUAACAAAUCCCAGUGUACCAGACAACAGAGAACCGUACUCAGGCAGAAAAGUAAGCAGGACCCUUUCUAAAAUGUCCCUUGCCCUGAGUCAUGGUGAUGAUGGAGCAGAUCCUCACACUGUAUAAACCAACAUGGUGCCCUUAAGGGCAGUGGAGUGCUGGUGAAGUGCCACUGGAUGCCUAAAUUGUCUGAGAGAAACUGGCAUGGUUCUGGGCUUUGUCACGUGUACUGACUUGCUGAUUUAUUAUUAAAGUCUAGGGGUGCACAGGAGAACUGGACAAUGUACACUGGGCUGCUCUUUUGAGUUUCUUAGGAAGGCUGCAAUGUGCACCCAGAGAUUUUAACAGGGCUGCUCAGAAGGUACAACUGGGAGCAUGAAUUAAGAAAAUGGAGAGAGUGAGAAGGCUCAGGGAAAGAGGAGAGUUUAAACAUAUUUUUAGACUUGCAAGACUACAGCUGUGGGAAUAAUUUAAAAAACACAUUUUUUGGAUAAUUUAUUUUUGAAACUCUGCAAAAUUUGUCAAAUCAUUUAUUUGAUGAGCAUUAUUUGACCAGCUGUACAGAGAGCCACACUGGAGUGCUGUAAUGAGUGCUUUGGAAUGCGACCAGCGUUAAUGUGCCUGUGAUAGCUGGAUAAUUCUUUUACCCUGCUCAUUUCUGUGGUUUGCCUGUAACUAUGGCCCCACUUGAUUGCUGUUACGAUGUGAGCUUUGAAUUCUCUCUCUCCUUUGGCCUUUUCCUUUUGGCAGUUCCUGCCGAGCUGAGCCCUGAUUAGAACCACAGCAGGUUAUUUGAUCUUCAGAUGGCUAUAAAAGGUCUGUGCAAGUGACCAUCUCGCUCCUGUCCCAAAUGGAUGAUCACGCAUAGCGCACAUUGCCGCACUCCUGGCAGGACUUCAGCAAAACUGGCGAGUUUUCCCUUCCCGAGCUAAAGCAUAACCCAAGUACUAUUCAAAUGGUGGAGUUACAGAAGUCUGAAGUUUCAAUCCCAGCUUGAAGAAGCGAUGUGGAUCUAAGGAGGCAUACCACAGACAGUACUAGACAUGGCUCAGAGGAUGCAUGGGUGAAGGAAGUGAUCCUGAACAGUGGAGGCAGAAGUGGAAGAAGCUGCUGCUGGAAGACAAAUGGUUGCUUCAUGGGGAAAACCCCUUUGAUUGUAAAUUUUUAUUAUUUUAAAAUAUAAAAAGAAUAUUCUGCUGCAUGUCUCUGUUAGAGAAGAGUGUAUCUAAAAGCAUGGUGGGCAUGUGGAGGAGCAUGUGGAGAUGGUAAAGACGUUUAUCCUAGUUUCCUAUAUCCUUACUCACAUUUUGCACAUCUUCGGAGUACACACCCUGAGCACAGGCGGAAUCAGACAUCAUGGCUCACCAAGCUGUAUGGAUGAAAUGAUAGCCUGUUCCCAGAAUCCUCUAUAGGUUAAAGGCUUCUUCAUGACAUCUGUGACCUUGGUGUAGCUCAGCCAUAUGAUGAUGAGGGCAGAAGACACAGCCAAGGCAUUCUCUGCUAGGACAGGCUCCCAGCUGCCCAUUAGCAAAAAGAAGUGUCACUUGAAGCUGUUUUUGGAGG
Onychostruthus taczanowskii (white-rumped snowfinch) is the source of this 1785-nucleotide long non-coding RNA. RefSeq lists it as uncharacterized. The transcript has 3 exons. NCBI's taxonomy places the organism in Eukaryota, Metazoa, Chordata, Aves, Passeriformes, Passeridae. The record is from RefSeq and is a predicted model, not a curated record.